UACAGAGGGGGCAAGCGUUGUUCGGAAUUACUGGGCGUAAAGGGCGCGUAGGCGGCCUGUUAAGUCGAACGUGAAAUCCCCGGGCUCAACCCGGGAACUGCGUCCGAUACUGGCAGGCUUGAAUUCGGGAGAGGGAUGCGGAAUUCCAGGUGUAGCGGUGAAAUGCGUAGAUAUCUGGAGGAACACCGGUGGCGAAGGCGGCAUCCUGGACCGAGAUUGACGCUGAGGCGCGAAAGCGUGGGGAUCAAACAGG
Molecule: ribosomal RNA, 253 nt
Filed under: uncultured bacterium
Lineage: Bacteria
Description: partial 16S ribosomal RNA
Rfam family: Bacterial small subunit ribosomal RNA
Source: RNAcentral